Molecule: ribosomal RNA, 1005 nt
Filed under: Escherichia coli 1-110-08_S4_C2
Lineage: Bacteria; Pseudomonadati; Pseudomonadota; Gammaproteobacteria; Enterobacterales; Enterobacteriaceae
Description: bacterial LSU rRNA
Rfam family: Bacterial large subunit ribosomal RNA
Source: RNAcentral
AAACGGCGGCCGUAACUAUAACGGUCCUAAGGUAGCGAAAUUCCUUGUCGGGUAAGUUCCGACCUGCACGAAUGGCGUAAUGAUGGCCAGGCUGUCUCCACCCGAGACUCAGUGAAAUUGAACUCGCUGUGAAGAUGCAGUGUACCCGCGGCAAGACGGAAAGACCCCGUGAACCUUUACUAUAGCUUGACACUGAACAUUGAGCCUUGAUGUGUAGGAUAGGUGGGAGGCUUUGAAGUGUGGACGCCAGUCUGCAUGGAGCCGACCUUGAAAUACCACCCUUUAAUGUUUGAUGUUCUAACGUUGACCCGUAUCCGGGUUGCGGACAGUGUCUGGUGGGUAGUUUGACUGGGGCGGUCUCCUCCUAAAGAGUAACGGAGGAGCACGAAGGUUGGCUAAUCCUGGUCGGACAUCAGGAGGUUAGUGCAAUGGCAUAAGCCAGCUUGACUGCGAGCGUGACGGCGCGAGCAGGUGCGAAAGCAGGUCAUAGUGAUCCGGUGGUUCUGAAUGGAAGGGCCAUCGCUCAACGGAUAAAAGGUACUCCGGGGAUAACAGGCUGAUACCGCCCAAGAGUUCAUAUCGACGGCGGUGUUUGGCACCUCGAUGUCGGCUCAUCACAUCCUGGGGCUGAAGUAGGUCCCAAGGGUAUGGCUGUUCGCCAUUUAAAGUGGUACGCGAGCUGGGUUUAGAACGUCGUGAGACAGUUCGGUCCCUAUCUGCCGUGGGCGCUGGAGAACUGAGGGGGGCUGCUCCUAGUACGAGAGGACCGGAGUGGACGCAUCACUGGUGUUCGGGUUGUCAUGCCAAUGGCACUGCCCGGUAGCUAAAUGCGGAAGAGAUAAGUGCUGAAAGCAUCUAAGCACGAAACUUGCCCCGAGAUGAGUUCUCCCUGACUUCUUGAGAGUCCUGAAGGAACGUUGAAGACGACGACGUUGAUAGGCCGGGUGUGUAAGCGCAGCGAUGCGUUGAGCUAACCGGUACUAAUGAACCGUGAGGCUUAACCUU